GAUGAACGCUGGCGGCGUGCCUAAUACAUGCAAGUCGAGCGAACAGACGAGGAGCUUGCUCCUCUGACGUUAGCGGCGGACGGGUGAGUAACACGUGGAUAACCUCCCUAUAAGACUGGGAUAACUUCGGGAAACCGGAGCUAAUACCGGAUAAUAUAUUGAACCGCAUGGUUCAAUAGUGAAAGACGGUUUUGCUGUCACUUAUAGAUGGAUCCGCGCCGCAUUAGCUAGUUGGUAAGGUAACGGCUUACCAAGGCAACGAUGCGUAGCCGACCUGAGAGGGUGAUCGGACACACUAGAACUGAGACACGGUCCAGACUCCUACGGGAGGCAGCAGUAGGGAAUCUUCCGCAAUGGGCGAAAGCCUGACGGAGCAACGCCGCGUGAGUGAUGAAGGUGUUCGGAUCGGAAAACUCUGUUAUUAGGGAAGAACAAAUGUGUAAGUAACUAUGCACGUCAUGACGGUACCUAAUCAGAAAGCCACGGCUAACUACGUG
This 497-nucleotide ribosomal RNA is filed under the name uncultured bacterium. Its description in RNAcentral is "partial 16S ribosomal RNA". It matches the Rfam family "Bacterial small subunit ribosomal RNA", at positions 28 to 507 of the family's 1533-position model. The record is from RNAcentral.